UCUUUGGUAGCUCAGAUGGUAAAGAUUCUGCCUGCAAUGCAGGGGACCCAGGUUCAAUCCCUGGGUCAGGAA
This 72-nucleotide transfer RNA is filed under the name Bos taurus (domestic cattle). It matches the Rfam family "tRNA". From Rfam's summary of the family: Transfer RNA (tRNA) molecules are approximately 80 nucleotides in length. Lineage: Eukaryota; Metazoa; Chordata; Mammalia; Artiodactyla; Bovidae. The record is from Rfam by way of RNAcentral. RNAcentral also lists the same sequence under 3 other names.